GAUGAACGCUGGCGGCGUGCAUAAUACAUGCCAGUCGAGCGAACAUACUAGUAUCUUGCUCCUCUUACGUUAGCGGCUGAACUGUGAGUAACACUUGGAUAACCUAUCUAUACGUCUGGGCUAACUUCGGGAAACUGGAGCUAAUACCGUAUAAUAUAUUGAACCGCAUGGUUCAAUAGUUAAAGCUGGAUUUGCUGUCGCUUAUAGAUGGAUCCGGGCCGCCUUAGCUGUUGGGUAAGGUAAUGGCUUCCCAAGGCGAAGAUGCGGAACCGACCUGAGAGGGAAAUAGGCCACAUUGGAACUGAGACACGAUCCAGACUCAGACGAGAGGCAACAGUAGAGAAGCUUCCGCAAUGGGCGAGAGACUGACGGAGCAACCCCGAGUGGGUGAUGAAGGACUUCGAAUCGUAAAAAUCAGUUAUUAGGGAAAAACAAAUGUGUAAGUAACUAUACACGUCGCAACAGUACCAACAAGAAAAGCACGGCUAACCACGUG
This 496-nucleotide ribosomal RNA is filed under the name uncultured bacterium. Its description in RNAcentral is "partial 16S ribosomal RNA". It matches the Rfam family "Bacterial small subunit ribosomal RNA", at positions 28 to 507 of the family's 1533-position model. The record is from RNAcentral.